UAGCUAGUUGGUGGGGUAAGGGCCUACCAAGGCGACGAUCGGUAGCUGGUCUGAGAGGAUGACCAGCCACACUGGAACUGAGACACGGUCCAGACUCCUACGGGAGGCAGCAGUGGGGAAUAUUGGACAAUGGGGGCAACCCUGAUCCAGCAAUGCCGCGUGUGUGAAGAAGGCCUGAGGGUUGUAAAGCACUUUCAGUGGGGAGGAGGGUUGAUAGGUUAAGAGCUAAUUAACUGGACGUUACCCACAGAAGAAGCACCGGCUAACUCCGUGCCAGCAGCCGCGGUAAUACGGAGGGUGCGAGCGUUAAUCGGAAUUACUGGGCGUAAAGGGUGCGUAGGUGGUUGAUUAAGUUAUCUGUGAAAUUCCUGGGCUUAACCUGGGACGGUCAGAUAAUACUGGUUGACUCGAGUAUGGGAGAGGGUAGUGGAAUUUCCGGUGUAGCGGUGAAAUGCGUAGAGAUCGGAAGGAACACCAGUGGCGAAGGCGGCUACCUGGCCUAAUACUGACACUGAGGCACGAAAGCGUGGGGAGCAAACAGGAUUAGAUACCCUGGUAGUCCACGCUGUAAACGAUGUCAACUAGCUGUUGGUUAUAUGAAAAUAAUUGGUGGCGC
This 616-nucleotide ribosomal RNA is filed under the name uncultured Legionella sp. RNAcentral describes it as "bacterial SSU rRNA". It matches the Rfam family "Bacterial small subunit ribosomal RNA", at positions 242 to 849 of the family's 1533-position model. The record is from RNAcentral. Lineage: Bacteria; Pseudomonadati; Pseudomonadota; Gammaproteobacteria; Legionellales; Legionellaceae.